AGCCUUUGUGUUGACCAUUCACUUUUGGACACUAGUAAAUGUAGCAUCAAAAAGGCAUAAACUAAACAACUUUACAGCCCUUUCCUUCCUUGAAUUUCACGUCUUUGGUUUAGGAGCUUGUAGGGAAAAUGA
Molecule: small nucleolar RNA, 132 nt
Organism: Artibeus jamaicensis (Jamaican fruit-eating bat)
Lineage: Eukaryota; Metazoa; Chordata; Mammalia; Chiroptera; Phyllostomidae
Product: small nucleolar RNA SNORA13
Exons: 1
Source: RefSeq, a predicted model, not a curated record